This is a non-coding RNA of Oryza glumipatula, 204 nucleotides long. NCBI's taxonomy places the organism in Eukaryota, Viridiplantae, Streptophyta, Magnoliopsida, Poales, Poaceae. The record is from Rfam.
AAUAUGUGCAGUUUUGCACUAUUCAUGUUAAACGUUUGACCAUUCAUCUUAUUUAAAUUUUUUUAUUAAUAUUUUUAUUAUUAUUAGAUGAUAAAACAUGAAUAGUACUUUAUAUAUGACUAUUUUUUAAAAAAAAUUCAUACAUUUUUUAAAUAAGACAGGACGGUCAAACGUUGGACACGGAUACCCACGGCUGCACUCAUU